RNAcentral lists this small RNA (46 nucleotides) under Chinchilla lanigera (long-tailed chinchilla). RNAcentral describes it as "7SK RNA (ENSCLAG00000022085.1)". Lineage: Eukaryota; Metazoa; Chordata; Mammalia; Rodentia; Chinchillidae. The record is from RNAcentral.
CACCCCACUGAUAGCCAGGGUUGAUUUGGCCUAUUUGGCUGCCUAG